Molecule: long non-coding RNA, 331 nt
Filed under: Brassica napus (rape)
Lineage: Eukaryota; Viridiplantae; Streptophyta; Magnoliopsida; Brassicales; Brassicaceae
Description: long non-coding RNA (BNAP_LNC017029)
Source: RNAcentral
CGUCCAGUUUAGUUGUAAGUUGAUUGAAAUAAAUUCGAGACAACAAGGAAUACUCAAGUGUAUGUGGGCUGUAUUUUGAAAAGACAAUAAUUUAGCACUAAAUAAUUCAAGAACUGUUACUUAUAAAAAACUAUGUAAUCAGUUUUAAAAUACAAUUCAAUAAUCUAGACCAAAGAAUUGGAAAGAAGGUCUAUUUAUGUUUUGUUAGUCAGAGAGAAUUUAGAUGAACUUUUCGUUGGAUUGGAAAAUAAAUUGAAAGAAAUCAAAACAGUGAUCGAUGGAGGGCCCUUUGUUGACCAAGAGUGAGCAAAUCGUAAACACUACAAUCGAU